GAAAUGCGAUAAGUAGUGUGAAUUGCAGAAUUCAGUGAAUCAUCGAAUCUUUGAACGCACAUUGCGCUUUCCGGUAUUCCGGAGAGCAUGCCCGUUUCAGAAUCAUUCAGGGAAGAUCAACCAGAUUGGAGGUCACUGUGCCGACAAGCUCGUUGGAAUGUGGACGUUUGCCGGUGCAAUCGUCUGAAACGCAGCGUAUUCGUCCCAAUCUUUGGUCUGGGGGUGGGAUCAAGUGCAACAGGUUUUUUCUAUUUCGCUUGCUGCCACCAAACAGGACGGGGGUUGGGUGCGAGUUGGAAGGGUGGCGAGGCCGUCCUGCGGCCUCGGGCCAUUCCCUUCAAUGGUUUCAACAAACUUGAUCUGAAAUCGGGCAAGAAAACCCGCUGAACUUAA
This 393-nucleotide unclassified non-coding RNA is filed under the name uncultured fungus. Its description in RNAcentral is "sequence contains ITS1". The stretch from base 1 to 105 matches the Rfam family "5.8S ribosomal RNA", at positions 50 to 154 of the family's 154-position model. Lineage: Eukaryota; Fungi. The record is from RNAcentral.